CAGUCGCCACGGGAAUACGGAGGGCGCGAGCGUUACCCGGAUUUACUGGGCGUAAAGGGCGUGUAGGCGGCCUGGGGCGUCCCAUGUGAAAGGCCACGGCUCAACCGUGGAGGAGCGUGGGAUACGCUCAGGCUAGAGGGUGGGAGAGGGUGGUGGAAUUCCCGGAGUAGCGGUGAAAUGCGCAGAUACCGGGAGGAACGCCGAUGGCGAAGGCAGCCACCUGGUCCACUUCUGACGCUGAGGCGCGAAAGCGUGGGGAGCAAACCGGAUUAGAUACCCGUGUAGUCCCUGUCUCUUAUAA
RNAcentral lists this ribosomal RNA (301 nucleotides) under uncultured bacterium. RNAcentral's name for it is "partial 16S ribosomal RNA". It matches the Rfam family "Bacterial small subunit ribosomal RNA", at positions 509 to 809 of the family's 1533-position model. The record is from RNAcentral.